GUGGUCUAGUGGUUAGGAUUCGGCG
Molecule: non-coding RNA, 25 nt
Filed under: Xenopus tropicalis (tropical clawed frog)
Lineage: Eukaryota; Metazoa; Chordata; Amphibia; Anura; Pipidae
Also listed under: 5 other names
Source: RNAcentral